RNAcentral lists this ribosomal RNA (236 nucleotides) under uncultured bacterium. RNAcentral's name for it is "partial 16S ribosomal RNA". It matches the Rfam family "Bacterial small subunit ribosomal RNA", at positions 1255 to 1500 of the family's 1533-position model. The record is from RNAcentral.
UAGUGAUAUAGAGCAAAACCUAAAAACGGUCUCAGUUCGGAUUGAAGGCUGAAAUUCGCCUUCAUGAAGCUGGAAUUGCUAGUAAUGGCAGGUCAGCAUACUGCCGUGAAUACGUUCCCGGGCCUUGUACACACCGCCCGUCAAGCCAUGGAAGCCGGGGGGUGCCUGAAGUGCGCUGCCGCGAGGAGCGCCCUAGGGUAAAACCGGUGACUGGGGCUAAGUCGUAACAAGGUAAC